AAUGAACGCUGGCGGUAGGCCUAACACAUGCAAGUCGAACGGCAGCACAAUAAGAACUUGCUCCUACUGGUGGCGAGUGGCGGGCGGGUGAGGAAUACAUCGGCAUCUACUUUUUCUUGGCGCAUAACGUAGGCAAACUUACGCUAAUACCUCAUACGACCUACGGAUUAAAUCAGAGGAUCUUCGGACCUUUCGCGAUUGAAUUAGCCGAUGUCGGAUUAGCUAGUUGGCGGGGUAAAGGCCCACCAAGGCGACGAUCCGUAGCUGGUCUGAGAGGAUGAUCAGCCACACUGUAACUGAGACACGGUCCAGACUCCUACGGGAGGCAGCAGUGGGGAAUAUUGGACAAUGGGCGCAAGCCUGAUCGAGCCAUACCGCGUGGGUGAAGAAGUCCUUCGGGUCGUAAAGCCCUUUUAUUGGGAAAGAACAGCUGCAGGUUUAACAGCCGCUGUCUUGACGGUACCCAAAGAAUAAGCCACGGCUAACUUCGUG
This 492-nucleotide ribosomal RNA is filed under the name uncultured bacterium. RNAcentral's name for it is "partial 16S ribosomal RNA". It matches the Rfam family "Bacterial small subunit ribosomal RNA", at positions 29 to 507 of the family's 1533-position model. The record is from RNAcentral.